UGGUUGGUCUGGUGGAUAAACCUCCCCGCGACCGCGAGGUUUGCCUACUGCUCUCUGUGUCAGAUAUCCACACGUGCCCCGUACGCCGCCAUCGCCAUGGCUCUCCCCCUCGUCCGCCUCCCCCCGCUCCCCGCCGCGCGCCACCCACCGCUGCUCCGCCUCCCCAAGCACUCCGUUCCGCCUCACGGCGGCCGCGUCUCCUUCGCCUGUUCGUCCGGUAGCCGCGCCGCCUUCGCUGCCUGCUGUGCUAGCGCCUCGGUGGCCCCGGCGGCGGAGGCGGAGGCGGUGGUGGAAGAGCCCGAGGGGCCGAGGACGCGGCUCAUCGCGCAGAACAUCCCCUGGGACUGCACGGCGGACGACAUGCGCGCGCUCUUCGGGAAGCACGGCUCUGUCGUCGAUGUCGAGCUCUCGAUGUACAAUUCGACCAGAAACAGAGGAUUGGCGUUUGUAACCAUGGGUUCAGAAGAGGAGGCUCUUUCAGCACUCAACCAUCUAAAUUCGACUACUCUAAAUGAUAGAACAAUUAAGGUAGACUUUACUAGAUCGAGAAAGAAGCAGUAUGUUGUGCCAUCAGCUCCCAUGCCGAAGCACAGCGUUUUUGUGGGUAAUCUGACGUGGAGAGUGAGAUCUCGCCAUCUUCGUGAAUUAUUUGCAUCAACCCCAGGUGUUCAAUCAGUUGAAGUUGUCUUCCAUACCACAAGUCCGAGGCGAUCUGCUGGUUAUGGAUUUGUUUCCUUUUCCUCAAAAGAGGCAGCAGAGGCUGCCAUAUCUACCUUCAAUGGCACGAAAUUGAUGGGAAGAUCCAUUAACGUGAUGUUCAAAGAUGACAAUGCCAAAAAGAAUAAAUCUGCUGCACCAACGGAAGAGGAUCUGAAGGCAGAAUCAUCUGAGCAGAUUGUUAGCUAAGCAUCAAUUGUCAUGGGAACACACCGAGAACUUAAAUGAUUGAGGAUUGCUUAACUGACAUUUUCCCAAUACUGAAUUAUUGGCCACCACUCUCUGCUAAUGGUGAAAGAUUCUUUUUCUCACAAGGUCUCCCAGCUGCUGGUCAGUUUUGCUCAUUCAACGCCUCGUGAGUUCUAUAUUACAGCGUUGUUUAUGCUGUCCACUUGAUAUGGAUGACAUAUGACAUUUGGAGGUCAGCUUUAUGCCAUGAGCACAAAAUAUAUGUAAGCUUUUCUUGACACCCAGGUUAAUUAAUUGUAGAUAGAGAUAAGUCUCAAGGAUCUCAGCCGUAACCCGAUGGAUUUAGCGAUAAUUUGUUUAUUGUGAAAUAUUUGGCUGAAAUGUAUAAAUCACCGGGAUAACUUUAAAGGCUAAAAGCUACUACUGGUAUUGUUUUCAGUCUGUACUUGUCUUCGUUUUUAUGUGACCGGAAGAUUGUA
This is a non-coding RNA of Oryza sativa Japonica Group (Japanese rice), 1385 nucleotides long. The record is from RefSeq and is a predicted model, not a curated record. Lineage: Eukaryota; Viridiplantae; Streptophyta; Magnoliopsida; Poales; Poaceae.